GACGAACGCUGGCGGCGUGCCUAAUACAUGCAAGUAGAACGCUGAAGAGAGGAGCUUACUCCUCUUGGAUGAGUUGCGAACGGGUGAGUAACGCGUAGGUAACCUGCCUUGUAGCGGGGGAUAACUAUUGGAAACGAUAGCUAAUACCGCAUAACAAUGGAUGACACAUGUCAUUUAUUUGAAAGGGGCAAUUGCUCCACUACAAGAUGGACCUGCGUUGUAUUAGCUAGUAGGUGAGGUAAUGGCUCACCUAGGCGACGAUACAUAGCCGACCUGAGAGGGUGAUCGGCCAAACUGGGACUGAGACACGGCCCAGACUCCUACGGGAAGCAGCAGUAGGGAAUCUUCGGCAAUGGGGGCAACCCUGACCGAGCAACGCCGCGUGAGUGAAGGAGGUUUUCGGAUCGUAAAGCUCUGUUGUAAGUCAAGAACGGGUGUGAGAGUGGAAAGUUCACGCUGUGACGGUAGCUUACCAGAAAGGGACGGCUAACUACGUG
This 497-nucleotide ribosomal RNA is filed under the name uncultured bacterium. Its description in RNAcentral is "partial 16S ribosomal RNA". It matches the Rfam family "Bacterial small subunit ribosomal RNA", at positions 28 to 507 of the family's 1533-position model. The record is from RNAcentral.